This 498-nucleotide ribosomal RNA is filed under the name uncultured bacterium. RNAcentral's name for it is "partial 16S ribosomal RNA". It matches the Rfam family "Bacterial small subunit ribosomal RNA", at positions 30 to 523 of the family's 1533-position model. The record is from RNAcentral.
AUUGAACGCUGGCGGCAGGCCUAACACAUGCAAGUCGAGCGGUUGAGGUAGCUUGCUACCGAAGCAGCGGCGAACGGGUGAGUAAUGCAUGGGAAUCUGCCUGGUAGUGGGGGACAACGUUUCGAAAGGAACGCUAAUACCGCAUACGCCCUACGGGGGAAAGGGGGGGAUCUUCGGACCUCUCGCUAUCAGAUGAGCCCAUGUCAGAUUAGCUUGUUGGGGAGGUAAGGGCUCACCAAGGCGACGAUCUGUAACUGGUCUGAGAGGAUGAUCAGUCACACUGGAACUGAGACACGGUCCAGACUCCUACGGGAGGCAGCAGUGGGGAAUAUUGGACAAUGGGGGCAACCCUGAUCCAGCCAUGCCGCGUGUGUGAAGAAGGCCUUCGGGUUGUAAAGCACUUUCAGUGGGGAGAAAGGUCAUUCACCUAAUACGUGAGUGAAUUGAUGUUACCCACAGAAGAAGCACCGGCUAACUCCGUGCCAGCAGCCGCCGUAA